RNAcentral lists this ribosomal RNA (338 nucleotides) under Themisto libellula. RNAcentral describes it as "partial large subunit ribosomal RNA". It matches the Rfam family "Eukaryotic large subunit ribosomal RNA", at positions 25 to 286 of the family's 3401-position model. Lineage: Eukaryota; Metazoa; Arthropoda; Malacostraca; Amphipoda; Hyperiidae. The record is from RNAcentral.
CCGCUGAAUUUAAGCAUAUCAAUAAGCGGAGGAAAAGAAAGCAAAAGCGAUUCCUUGAGUAGGGGCGAGCGAAAAGGGAACAGCCCAGCGCACAAUCUCCCGGUCUACCAGGGCCCCGGCGAAAUUUUGCGUAUAAGGAAAGGUCGUUUACAGUCACGUGCACCCGUGUGAUGCGCCUAACCGUGAUCUGAAAUGUUCUCGCACGUUGGGUGCUUUACCKUUCGGGGUAAACGCUCAAUACACGGUUCCUUGGAGGGUGCGAGCCCCGUAUGGCCGCGUGAGGGUGCACUAAGGCUAGCCGUCUUUUCCUUGAGAGUCGCGUUGUUUGAACAUACAGC